This 374-nucleotide ribosomal RNA is filed under the name uncultured organism. RNAcentral describes it as "partial 16S ribosomal RNA". It matches the Rfam family "Bacterial small subunit ribosomal RNA", at positions 527 to 896 of the family's 1533-position model. The record is from RNAcentral.
GUAGGUGGCAAGCGUUGUCCGGAAUUAUUGGGCGUAAAGCGCGCGCAGGUGGUUCUUUAAGUCUGAUGUGAAAGCCCACGGCUCAACCGGGGAGGGUCAUUGGAAACUGGGGAACUUGAGUGCAGGAGAGGAAAGUGGAAUUCCACGUGUAGCGGUGAAAUGCGUAGAUAUGUGGAGGAACACCAGUGGCGAAGGCGACUUUCUGGCCUGUAACUGACACUGAGGCGCGAAAGCGUGGGGAGCAAACAGGGAUUAGAUACCCUGGUAGUCCACGCCGUAAACGAUGAGUGCUAAGUGUUGGGGGGGGUUUCCGCCCCCUCAGUGCUGCAGCUAACGCAUUAAGCACUCCGCCUGGGAGUACGGUCGCAAGACUG